Molecule: unclassified non-coding RNA, 355 nt
Filed under: soil metagenome
Description: partial contains 5.8S ribosomal RNA, internal transcribed spacer 2, and large subunit ribosomal RNA
Rfam family: 5.8S ribosomal RNA (bases 1-120)
Source: RNAcentral
GAUGAAGAACGUAGCGAAAUGCGAUAAGUAAUGCGAAUUGCAGAAUUCAGUGAAUCAUCGUAUCUUUGAACGCACAUUGCGCCCGCUAGUAUUCUGGCGGGCAUGCCUGUCUGAGCGUCAUUUCAACCCUCGCCCCCGGCUUUUGCUGGGAGCGGUGUUGGGGAUCGGCCGCCCGUCACUGGGAGGCCGGCCCCGAAAUAGAGUGGCGACCACGCCGUGUGCUCCUCUGCGUAGUAGUAAAUCACCUCGCAGGCGGACAGCGGUGCGGCCUGCCGUAAAACCCCCAACUCUUUCUGGCUGACCUCAGAUCAGGUAGGAAUACCCGCUGAACUUAAGCAUAUCAAUAAGCGGAGGA